This 125-nucleotide ribosomal RNA is filed under the name uncultured bacterium. RNAcentral describes it as "partial 16S ribosomal RNA". It matches the Rfam family "Bacterial small subunit ribosomal RNA", at positions 391 to 507 of the family's 1533-position model. The record is from RNAcentral.
GCGAUGCCGCGUGCGGGAAGAAGCCCUUCGGGGUGUAAACCGCUGUCRGGGGGGACGANGGGACCGUGGGUUAAUANCUCACGGUCUUGACGGUACCCCCAGAGGAAGGGACGGCUAACUACGUG